UUUUACGUCGGAAAUAAGACAAAACUUAUGGAACGUAAAAUUACGAUAUAUUAAUGAUAAAAUAGAGGGGUGAAGAAUAACUAUUCCUUAUCAGGGUGACGAAUAGUCAAUCCAUAGUCACAUUAUUCUGAUCAUGGGAUCAGAAUAGUAUUCUGAUCACGGCGUGCUAUAUAGGGACGAUGAGAUCCUCCGAAAAACUCCCGGUAGGGAAUAAAAGAAAAACUCCCACCAUCUCUCACCAACCUCCCGACUCCCUCCAAUGCAUCGCCGCCGGCCCCAACCUCCUGAUUCCAGCGCGUUGCCGGACCCCUCCACCUGCUUCCGCCGCGUCGCCCCGAACCGGCGCCGCCGGACCCCUCUUCCCUUCUGUCGGCGUGCCUCUUCCCCCGCCGCCGGAGCGCCACUUCCCCCAUCCGCCGGCGCUCCUCCUCCCGCUCCACCCUAAACCAUGCGCCUCCAUCCUCCCACCCCGACGCGAGCGACCCACUGGGCGCCGCACCUGCAUCGCCGCCCCCCUCCCCAGCCACACCGGCGCGCCAUCCUCCCCGCUCCACUGCCGCCACCCCGCCCCGGCCGCAACCCACGACGCCCCGUCUCUCCUCCCCUGGAUCGCCGUUGCGUGCCGCCGAUGCAGGACACCUCCCGAUGCGCUGCCGCCAUGUCGCGGAUGACCCCGAGCGACCUUCUUUUCCACCUCCCCAAGCGCCGCCACUCUGGACCCAUCGCACUCAGGCCCUCACCCCUGCCGCCGCGACCUUCUCCCCUUGCCACCGCGACCUUCUUCCCCCUGCCUCCGCGACCUUCUUCCCCCUUCCCCGCACUGCCCUUCGGAUGAGAGGCAGCGCUCCAACCAGCCAUGCUCAUGGGUCACCGCCCACCACCAGCGCACCUCAUUCCGCCGGCACGAACUUCCUCUCGCCCCUAACUCAAUCCUUCUUUUGCCGGCCAGAUCCGAGCGCCUUCUCUGCCCACGCCUCUCCGGCGAGAGCCUCCUUCUCUACAUACUCCGAGUGACUCCGGACAGAUCCAUGGAGCUCGAGAAGUUCAUUGGCUGCGGAGGUGGUUGCUGCCGACUCCAGGUGAGCACCUGCUCCUGGCUCCUCCUGGCUUCUGCUCAUGCCCAACCCACCUCUUCCCCUUUGUCUGCACGUGGAGGCGGCCGUUUCCGGAUGUGCUUAUACAUAUUGAACUGCAAGGUUGCAUGACUCGGUUUGAGGUAGUGGCUUUGCCGCUGCAGGGCUUCGCCUCACUCGGACGACUCACUACCUCUAGCGGCCGCCGCCGUCCAUCGCGCCGGCUCAUGUCACCUUCCUGGUCGCCCCACGCGCUGACCAGCGCUGCUCCGAUCCAGCUCCUCCAUCCUCCAGCCACGACAACCAAGUCCAAAAACAAAAGAAGUUCUGAUUCUCGCAAGCUACAAGUUCAGAGCUUUCACUUCUCUGAACAAAAUUCAGAUUUUUGCACCUACAUAUAUGCCAAGGAGUUUCAAAGAGCGUUAACUACUCAGAACCUGAGUAUUUUGUGGUGGUUUGAUCUGAAUGAUCAAUAUGUUUGCUUCUUGAUACUACACAAAAGAAGAAAAACGGCAAGUCUAUCAUCCAAUUGAGUGUGUGUUUCAGAAUUCAAGAUCGGUAAUUUCUACAUUGAGUGGUAGGUCCACGCACACAAUCUCUGCUUUCAACUUGAAGAAAAAGCAGUCAUCAUGUCCGGCACAAACACAGAAAUCUCAUGGCCCAGUGAUCUGCCGCGUCGCACGCCAACAAUGAGCGACAAGCUCAAAGAUUCGCUUGAUUUAGUCGGAGGAAAAUGCAUACUGCAUCCGUUUGUGGCUGCAGAAAAUACAGAAGUUCCUUUAGAGAUGUAGUAUUAUUCUUCAGAGUUCUGAUAACUGAAUUUUGGGCCGCUGAACCAUGCUAACCUCGACCUUGUAAAAGGAUGUUCAGAAGUUUGAAGUAGACUAAAAAAAAAGUAAAAAAAAAAGAGCUAUGUGCUGCUGUGUCCGUAGUAGGUGUGGUGUCUCGUAUGUGUGUGCGAGCGUUCACUGUGUGGGUCCUCGUGUGUUCCUGUGGGUCGUAUGCUCCCAUGUGUGCGUGCUCUUUUUUUUUGAGAAAAAUGUGUGCGUGCUCUAGUGUGUGUGUCAUGUGUGCUCUCAUGUAUACUCCGUGUAAUUAUUGUGUCCAUAUGUUCAUAAGGUUAUUUGAUUGUGUCGAGAAACUUCUAAA
This is a long non-coding RNA of Aegilops tauschii subsp. strangulata, 2222 nucleotides long. RefSeq lists it as uncharacterized. Lineage: Eukaryota; Viridiplantae; Streptophyta; Magnoliopsida; Poales; Poaceae. The record is from RefSeq and is a predicted model, not a curated record.